Molecule: small RNA, 290 nt
Organism: Pseudoxanthobacter soli DSM 19599
Lineage: Bacteria; Pseudomonadati; Pseudomonadota; Alphaproteobacteria; Hyphomicrobiales; Segnochrobactraceae
Rfam family: 5' ureB small RNA
Source: Rfam
CGUCGUCCACCUGCUGCGGGCAGAUGAAGUGGAUGUGGGAAUCGAAGCCGCCGGCGGUGAGGAUCUUGCCCUCGCCGGCGAUGAUCUCGGUGCCCGGGCCGAUGAUGAUGGUCACGUCCGGCUGGAUGUCCGGGUUGCCGGCCUUGCCGAUGGCGGCGAUGCGGCCGCCCUUGAGGCCGACGUCGGCCUUCACGAUCCCCCAGUGGUCGAGGAUCACGGCGUUGGUGAUGACGGUGUCGACCGCACCCUGCGCCCGCGUCGCCUGGGACUGACCCAUGCCGUCGCGGAUG